RNAcentral lists this ribosomal RNA (253 nucleotides) under uncultured bacterium. Its description in RNAcentral is "partial 16S ribosomal RNA". It matches the Rfam family "Bacterial small subunit ribosomal RNA", at positions 524 to 776 of the family's 1533-position model. The record is from RNAcentral.
CACGUAGGGCGCAAGCGUUGUCCGGAAUUAUUGGGCGUAAAGAGCUCGUAGGCGGUCUGUUACGUCUGCUGUGAAAACCCGGGGCUUAACCCUGGGCUUGCAGUGGAUACGGGCAGACUAGAGGCAGGUAGGGGAGAAUGGAAUUCCCGGUGUAGCGGUGAAAUGCGCAGAUAUCAGGAGGAACACCAGCGGCGAAGGCGGCGCUCUGGGCCGGAACUGACGCUGAGGAGCGAAAGCGUGGGUAGCAAACAGG